RNAcentral lists this ribosomal RNA (253 nucleotides) under uncultured bacterium. RNAcentral describes it as "partial 16S ribosomal RNA". It matches the Rfam family "Bacterial small subunit ribosomal RNA", at positions 524 to 776 of the family's 1533-position model. The record is from RNAcentral.
GACGUAGGGCGCGAGCGUUGUCCGGAUUUAUUGGGCGUAAAGAGCUCGUAGGCGGCUUGUCGCGUCGUUCGUGAAAACCUGUGGCUCAACUACAGGCUUGCGGUCGAUACGGGCAGGCUGGAGUUCGGUAGGGGAGACUGGAAUUCCUGGUGUAGCAGUGAAAUGCGCAGAUAUCAGGAGGAACACCGGUGGCGAAGGCGGGUCUCUGGGCCGAUACUGACGCUGAGGAGCGAAAGCGUGGGGAGCGAACAGG